UCAGCCGGCCGGACGGCCGCUCCGCGCCAAUGCCGAAAGGCGGCCGGGGAGGAAAGUCCGGGCUCCAGGACAAACGGUGCCGGAUAACGUCCGGCGGGAUCGAUCCCCGCUUGCGGGGAAAGGCCCCAGGGACAGUGCCACAGAGAACAGACCGCCACGGCGCGUUGUGUAUCAGCCGUGGCAAGGGUGAAACGGUGCGGUAAGAGCGCACCGCGCUUUCCGGCAACGGAAGCGGCACGGCAAACCCCACCGGGAGCAAGACCGAAUAGGGACGGCACCGAGGCGCAAGCCUCAACCCUUGUCCGGGUCGCCGUCCGGGUGGGUCGCUUCAGGCGCCGGGCAACCGGCGUCGCAGAGGAAUGGCCGUCACGUCCGGCGCGCAAGCGCCGGGCCAUACAGAACCCGGCUUACAGGCCGUCUGAUUUG
This 426-nucleotide RNase P RNA is filed under the name Xanthobacteraceae bacterium. RNAcentral's name for it is "RNase P RNA component class A". It matches the Rfam family "Bacterial RNase P class A". From Rfam's summary of the family: Ribonuclease P (RNase P) is a ubiquitous endoribonuclease, found in archaea, bacteria and eukarya as well as chloroplasts and mitochondria. Its best characterised activity is the generation of mature 5'-ends of tRNAs by cleaving the 5'-leader elements of precursor-tRNAs. Lineage: Bacteria; Pseudomonadati; Pseudomonadota; Alphaproteobacteria; Hyphomicrobiales; Xanthobacteraceae. The record is from RNAcentral.